RNAcentral lists this unclassified non-coding RNA (376 nucleotides) under soil metagenome. RNAcentral's name for it is "partial contains 5.8S ribosomal RNA, internal transcribed spacer 2, and large subunit ribosomal RNA". The stretch from base 1 to 120 matches the Rfam family "5.8S ribosomal RNA", at positions 35 to 154 of the family's 154-position model. The record is from RNAcentral.
GAUGAAGAACGCAGCGAAAUGCGAUAAGUAAUGUGAAUUGCAGAAUUCAGUGAAUCAUCGAAUCUUUGAACGCAUCUUGCGCUCCUUGGUAUUCUGAGGAGCAUGCCUGUUUGAGUGUCAUUAAAUUCUCAACUACACUGACUUUGAAUUGGUGUGGCUUGGAUUUGGGGGGAAAAUUGUUGUGGGCUUUUCGUAUAGUCUGCUCCCCUGAAAUUGAUUAGCGGUACCUUUGUGGAACUGUCUACAGGUGUGAUAAUUAUCUACAUCUUAGACAUCUGCUGGAAUGCUGCUCUCUAAACCUUACUUGUAUUGACAAUCUUGACCUCAAAUCAGGUAGGACUACCCGCUGAACUUAAGCAUAUCAAUAAGCGGAGGA